Long non-coding RNA from Quercus robur (English oak), 971 nucleotides. RefSeq lists it as uncharacterized. The transcript has 5 exons. NCBI's taxonomy places the organism in Eukaryota, Viridiplantae, Streptophyta, Magnoliopsida, Fagales, Fagaceae. The record is from RefSeq and is a predicted model, not a curated record.
CUCUCUAAAAAAACCCCUAGCGAUACUGCGAUAGAGAGAAAGGGAAGGUGGGAAAAAAAACCUAGCCAUCUCCUCACACCAAACUCUGCAAGGAGAAAAAAAAAAAAAAAAAAAACUUGCGCCACAGUGGAGAUUCGUUCGGCCGGCCAUCGCCAUCCCUUUUUGAGUUUUUCAGGAAUUCAAAGUUAAAUACGAUCAAACGUCCCAGGAAUAUUGAGAUACGGGGAUAGAGAUAGUCACUACUCUGACAAAAGGUACAACAUGGGUAUUUUGCAAGAAGAGUUGCUGCAUCAAACUAAGAGGGGCUUGCAUUUGGUACCUCCACAAUAUUCACGUAUUGGACGGACUUGAUAUAAAACCCGUUUCACACCAAGGUUUACAUGCUCAGGGUGAGGAACAAGCACUAUGGUAAGGUUAAGUUUUUUGAUAUAAGUUUUGAUGAUUACUCUCCGGAGGAGGAUCAAGGCCUAGACUACAAAACUGUAUGGUCUAAAUAGUGCUGAAAUUUUCAGUAGACACAAUUUGCUGGUUUACGAGAGUUUGGCUAGAGCUGUAAGAUAAGGAGAAAUUGAAUUAUGUGUGACAGUAACACUUCCUGUUAGUCACUUCAAUAUGACUUCAGAGACUAAUAUGUUACUGUCACAAUUUGCUGGUUUAAGAGGGUUUGGUAGGAGCUGUAAGAAAAGAAAUUGAAAAUGAAGUAUAUGUGACAGUAACACUACCUGUUGGUCAUAUCCAAUAUGACCUCACUGACUAAUAUUUACUUUUUUUUGGUGGCUUUUGGGGAUCAUUAGAAUUUUUCUGAAAAAUCCAGCAUGAAACCAUGUAGCUCUAUAGUUUGGCCAUAGGAAAGUAAUAAUAACUUUGUAGAAUACAUAGUAGAGCAUAUUAACUUUGUGGCAUGUGUAUAUAGAGUUUAGAGCAUCUCUUUUGUCAGAUUUAUUACAAUACAGUGAUGCAGUGGUGUUGGU